This 253-nucleotide ribosomal RNA is filed under the name uncultured bacterium. Its description in RNAcentral is "partial 16S ribosomal RNA". It matches the Rfam family "Bacterial small subunit ribosomal RNA", at positions 524 to 776 of the family's 1533-position model. The record is from RNAcentral.
UACGUAGGUGGCAAGCGUUGUCCGGAUUUACUGGGCGUAAAGGGCGUGCAGGCGGUCUGUUAAGUCUAGGGUGAAAGCUCCCGGCUCAACUGGGAGAGGUCCUUGGAUACUGGCAGACUUGAGGAGAGUAGAGGAGAGUGGAAUUCCCGGUGUAGUGGUGAUAUGCGUAGAUAUCGGGAGGAACACCAGUGGCGAAGGCGGCUCUCUGGGCUCUACCUGACGCUGAGACGCGAAAGCUAGGGGAGCAAACGGG